GACGAACGCUGGCGGCGUGCUUAACACAUGCAAGUCGAACGGAAAGGCCCUGCUUUUGUGGGGUGCUCGAGUGGCGAACGGGUGAGUAACACGUGAGUAACCUGCCCUUGACUUUGGGAUAACUUCAGGAAACUGGGGCUAAUACCGGAUAGGAGCUCCUGCUGCAUGGUGGGGGUUGGAAAGUUUCGGUGGUUGGGGAUGGACUCGCGGCUUAUCAGCUUGUUGGUGGGGUAGUGGCUUACCAAGGCUUUGACGGGUAGCCGGCCUGGGAGGGUGACCGGCCACAUUGGGACUGAGAUACGGCCCAGACUCCUACGGGAGGCAACAGUGGGGAAUAUUGCACAAUGGGCGGAAGCCUGAUGCAGCAACGCCGCGUGCGGGAUGACGGCCUUCGGGUUGUAAACCGCUUUCGCCUGUGACGAAGCGUGAGUGACGGUAAUGGGUAAAGAAGCACCGGCUAACUACGUG
Molecule: ribosomal RNA, 468 nt
Filed under: uncultured bacterium
Lineage: Bacteria
Description: partial 16S ribosomal RNA
Rfam family: Bacterial small subunit ribosomal RNA
Source: RNAcentral